RNAcentral lists this long non-coding RNA (4228 nucleotides) under Canis lupus familiaris (dog). RNAcentral's name for it is "lncRNA (ENSCAFG00000052217.1)". The record is from RNAcentral. Lineage: Eukaryota; Metazoa; Chordata; Mammalia; Carnivora; Canidae.
GGAGAAGCAGGCUCCAUGCAGGGAGCCCAAUGUGGGACUCGAUCCCAGGACCGUGGGAUCAUGCCCUGAGCCGAAGGCAGAUGCUCAACCGCUGAGCCACCCAGGCGUCCCAGAAAACAGAACUUCUAAAGUCCUACAUCAUGAAAUGUUUGAUUGCACAGUAGAGACAAAACUGAUCAUAGCAAUUCAGAGAAGCCAUCAGCAUGGAUUUGACAAAGGGGUUUCCAAAAGAUUUUGGAAUCAAAAGAUUUUGGAACUUGAGCAUACCAGAUUUCAUAUGCUGGAUAGUUAGGAAUUUUUCUGAUAAAGGAGAAGGACGUUCCAAGUAAUGGCUUAACCUCGCACAAAUAAGUGGUAGCUCUGUCACUACUAUAAUCAUUAUUACUGUCAGAAUUGGAAAAAUUGUGAAAGAAACUGGUUGGUGUAUUAGGAUGAACUGAUCUUUUUCAAUUCACUUGGUCCAAGUUUAGUUCACUAAAAUCACAGAGAAUUACAAACACAUUUAUUUCUCUGGGUCAGAGCUGAAUGCUCAGGCUACUAAUUUCUCUGACAUUAUAUGAUAUAAGUAAUUGUUUUUAAUGAUUAUAGUGCCCACAGAGGAAUAAAAAUACGUAUAUGAUUUGAUUCUUUAAGAGUUUAUUCUACAAAUAAUAAAAAUGUUCAUCUAACUGGUAUUAUAAUACCAGAACUAUUCAGCCACUGCACUUGUUUUCAUAGAUUUAUAUUUUUUAAUAUGAGGCAGUCAUAUUUGAGUUUUCACAUACUAAGAACAAGUGUCAAAUUUAGUUUUGACACAUAGUACUUUUGGAAGGAGGCUAAUCAGUGCAUUUUAGUCAAGUAUUUUAAACACUCAGAUUCAGAAGUAGGAUUUUUAUUUUGAAAUAAGUAUUUUCCUAUGUAGAUAAAAAGAAUUUAUAUCUUGGAUUUUCAGGUCAAUUUUCAUAGAUUCUGAACUAUUGUCAGACCCUAUUAUUUUUAUAUUUGAAUCAGAAAAUACAAUUCUUAUUAGUAAUGAUUGUAUUGCCAGACCUUCUGAUCAGUUACAAUUUACCCAAGUUGUUAAAUCAGAAAGCUUUGUACUUGCUUUCUGAAGAAUAUCUAUGAAGGAUGAUGAAAAAGUAAUCCACUUGAGGUUAAUAUCUAUAAAAACUUUUUGGGUUGGGGUAGGGUUAAAAUGAAGUGAAGUAUAAGACAUUUGUAUGUAGAUAACUCUAGAAGAGCUUUUAAUUGUGGGGAGAUUUAAACCUAGUGUUCACAAUGGUUUAAGUAGAUUAUGGUUAUAGAUUACUCUGGGUGCAAGUCAGAAAUUCUAACAGGCUAUGAGAUCAUCUUCACAUAAGGUUCAAGGUACUAUUUCGUUCUUUUUAUUUAUUCUUUAAUUCUUUCUAAAAGGUGAACUGGAUUAGAUUUUUAUCACAUUUCAGAUAAAUCCACUUUCAACCUCUGCAAAAUCUUUUUUAUGGUGUCUAUAAAAAACAAUCUUUGUGCACUUCCUGUAUCCAUUAUGUAUUGUGAUUGUGGUUUCCUUCUUUAACCAUAGGAUACAAUUUUCUCAUAUUUUUUUCUUGUCCUCACCUCAUUAAAAUUUUUUUAAGAGAAAUGACCAGCAGAAAAAAUUGUCAAGUACCUGGCAAUUUGAAAAUUGUACAAAGCUAGUCUGUUAUCAAUGGCUUAUAUUUCUUCUUUCUUUACCAUCCCUAAUUAUUUGUGUUUGCUCUUGCUGUUAGGUAUAUUGUUUUAAGCACUCAGCUGUUGUAGUGGUAUGAAGUACCUGAUAGUCUAUUGAAAAUAAACUAAGAUAUAUUACAGUUGUGGCAUAAGUUCCAGUCUUUGUUAUUUUUUAAUUCCUUUAGACUUUUUAAAGGGCCUGUCAAACUGCUCAAUGGAAAUUAGACUUUUUUCCUCUAAUGUUACUAGUAGGGUCACAUCGAGAAUUAUUCCACAAUACUCCUCAUACUUUUUAAAUUAAAAAAGUCAAUUAUUUCAGACCCAUUAAAGAUAAGAAGUGAAGGGUUUUAGAAGUGGAAAAACCCUGUGGAACUUUUCCUUUAAAAAUAUAUAUAUAUUUUUUAAAAAUCAAAUGCAUUUAAUUCCCACCUUCCUUCCUUUAUUCAACAGACUAGGGAGUACACACAAAUUAUCAAAUGUUCCUUUUGAAAUGAAAGCUAAAUCAUGUCACUACUCUGUUCAAAACUCUCUAGUGACUUCUCAUUUCACAUAAGCUAAAGUUUACAUUGGCUUUUAGGAUUCAACAUGACCUAAACCCUUGUUUCCUCUCUGAUCUCAUCUCCUUGCACUCUCCCCAUGGCUCACUCUGCUCAGUCACAUUGGUCUCCCACUGAUUCUUCUAACAUGCCAAGAAAGUUCUUUUCUGCCUGAGAUACCUUUCUACCAGAGAAAUUAAAUUAGCACAGCUUGCUCCCUCAUUAUUUUCAAGUCUUUUCACAAAUGUAAACUUAUCAGAGAGGUCUUCCCUGAUCACCUAUCUGAAAUCAAAACCUCAUCACCACCACCUAUAAGUACUACCUACCUAUCUCUGCCCCCUUCCCAGUUUUACUUUGCUCCAAAGCAUGUAUUACCUUGACAUACAAUAUAAUUUAUUUCUUCACUUUUUUCUUCCUCCACAAGACUAUAAACUCCAUGCUGACAGUGUUUUGUUUUUUCUUGUUUGUUCAUUAUCAUAUUUCCAGCACCUAAAACAAUUCCUGGCACACAUGAGGUAUUCAACACAUUUGUUUAAUGACCAAAAACAGACUUAAUAAAUAAGGCUCUCUCUCUCUAUUCUGCUUUGUACCAAUAUUCCAUUUUCUAGUUUCUAAAGUGAUUUAUACCAUUUACUCACAUAUGUAACCUGACCUUAAUUGAAAAAAUUCAAAAUAACUUCAUGACAAAAACAUUUAAAAAUCUGACCCUGGCUUUGGUUUGCUUUUAAAAAUCAGUGUAAUACCUAAGUAGGUUGGAACUACAAGGAUGGAAAGGAUUAUCAUGCAAAAAUUAAUUUUUUAAUGUUUUUAAUUAAUUUUUUAAAAAGCAGGAAUAGCUAUAUUAAUAUCAGAUAAAGGAGAAUUCAAAGCAAGAAAGUUACUAGACACAAACAAGGAUACUACAUAAUGAUAAAAGAAUCACUCCAUCAGGUAGAUAUAAUCCUAAAUGUGAAUGCACCAAACAAGAAAAUCUUAAAUACAUCAAGCAAAAACUAAUAGAAUUGAAAGAAGAAACAGAUCAAUCCACAAUUACAGUUGGAACUUCAAUAUCCCACUGUCAGUAACUGAGAGAACUAUGAGAAAAUCCGGAAGGCAGAGAAGAAAUGUACAAAUCAUCAAUUAUCAGGAUAACUUACAUACAUAGAUCACCCCACCCAACAACAGUAAACUGCACAGUCUUGAAAAGAAUGGAAGAAGGAAGAAGUAAAACUCUGAAUAUCUGCAGAUGACAUACUAUAUACAUAAAACCCUAGAGACUCCAUCAAAAAACUACUAAAACUGAUAAAUGAAUUCAGUAAAGUCACAGAAUACAAAAUCAAUGUACAGAAAUCUGCUGCAUUCCUAUACACUAAUAAUGAAGGAGUAGAAAGUGAAAUUAGGAAAACAGUCCCAUUUACAACUACAUCAAAAACAAUAAACUAUCUAGAUAUAAACUUAACCAAAGCGGUAUAAGACCUGUACUCUGAAAACUAUAAAACACUGAUGAGAGAAAUUAAAGAUGAUGCAAAGAAAUGGAAAGACAUUCCAUGCUCAUAGGUUGGAAGAACAAAUAUUGUCAAAAUAUCUAUACUAUCCAAAGCAUUCCACACAUUUAAUGCAAUCCAUAUCAAAAUACCAACAGCAUUUUUCACAGAACUAGAACAAACAAUCCUAAAAUGUGUAUGGACCCACAAAAGACACUAAAGAGCCAAAGCAAUCUUGAAAAAGAAAAAAAAAAAACUAGAAGUAUCACAAUUAGAGACUUCAAGUUGUAUCACAAAGCAGUAGUAAUUAAAACAGUAUGGUACUGGCAUAAAAAAAGACAAAAAGAUUGGGGCACAUGGGUGGCUCAGUUGGUUAAAUGUCUGUCUUUGGCUCAGGUCAUGAUCCCAGGGUCCUGGGAUGGAGCCCCACAUCAGGCUCCCUGAUCAGUAGGCAGCCUGCCCCUCCUCCCUCAUGCACCCGUGCAUGUACUCUCUCUCUACCCCAUCCUUCUUGCUCUCAAAUAAAUAAACAAAAUCUUAAAAAAAAAAAAAAAAAAAAAA